This 244-nucleotide ribosomal RNA is filed under the name uncultured bacterium. Its description in RNAcentral is "partial 16S ribosomal RNA". It matches the Rfam family "Bacterial small subunit ribosomal RNA", at positions 91 to 334 of the family's 1533-position model. The record is from RNAcentral.
CCGACCGGCGCACGGGUGAGUAACGCGUAUGCAACUUACCUAUCAGAGGGGGAUAACCCGGCGAAAGUCGGACUAAUACCGCAUGAAGCAGGGGCCCCGCAUGGGGAUAUUUGCUAAAGAUUCAUCGCUGAUAGAUAGGCAUGCGUUCCAUUAGGCAGUUGGCGGGGUAACGGCCCACCAAACCGACGAUGGAUAGGGGUUCUGAGAGGAAGGUCCCCCACAUUGGUACUGAGACACGGACUAA